This 76-nucleotide transfer RNA is filed under the name Aeromonas hydrophila. Its description in RNAcentral is "tRNA-Lys (CTT) (tRNA-Lys-CTT-1-1)". It matches the Rfam family "tRNA". Rfam says of the family: Transfer RNA (tRNA) molecules are approximately 80 nucleotides in length. Their secondary structure includes four short double-helical elements and three loops (D, anti-codon, and T loops). The record is from RNAcentral. RNAcentral also lists the same sequence under 54 other names. Lineage: Bacteria; Pseudomonadati; Pseudomonadota; Gammaproteobacteria; Aeromonadales; Aeromonadaceae.
GGGUCGUUAGCUCAGUCGGUAGAGCAGUUGACUCUUAAUCAAUUGGUCGUAGGUUCGAUCCCUACACGACCCACCA